RNAcentral lists this transfer RNA (64 nucleotides) under Pomacea bridgesi. RNAcentral describes it as "tRNA-Gln". RNAcentral also lists the same sequence under 1 other name. The record is from RNAcentral. Lineage: Eukaryota; Metazoa; Mollusca; Gastropoda; Architaenioglossa; Ampullariidae.
UUACUAAGCGGUGUUAGGCACAAAGGGGUUUGAUUCCUUAGGGAAGACUGUUUCUUCUAGUAAA